AUUGAACGCUGGCGGCAGGCCUAACACAUGCAAGUCGAGCGGAUAAAGGGAGCUUGCUCCUGGAUUCAGCGGCGGACGGGUGAGUAAUGCCUAGGAAUCUGCCUGGUAGUGGGGGAUAACGUCAGGAAACGGGCGCUAAUACCGCAUACGUCCUGAGGGAGAAAGUGGGGGAUCUUCGGACCUCACGCUAUCAGAUGAGCCUAGGUCGGAUUAGCUAGUUGGUGGGGUAAAGGCCUACCAAGGCGACGAUCCGUAACUGGUCUGAGAGGAUGAUCAGUCACACUGGAACUGAGACACGGUCCAGACUCCUACGGGAGGCAGCAGUGGGGAAUAUUGGACAAUGGGCGAAAGCCUGAUCCAGCCAUGCCGCGUGUGUGAAGAAGGUCUUCGGAUUGUAAAGCACUUUAAGUUGGGAGGAAGGGCAGUAAGUUAAUACCUUGCUGUUUUGACGUUACCAACAGAAUAAGCACCGGCUAACUUCGUG
This 484-nucleotide ribosomal RNA is filed under the name uncultured bacterium. Its description in RNAcentral is "partial 16S ribosomal RNA". It matches the Rfam family "Bacterial small subunit ribosomal RNA", at positions 30 to 507 of the family's 1533-position model. The record is from RNAcentral.